Molecule: ribosomal RNA, 427 nt
Filed under: Trichomatosus sp. JP-2014
Lineage: Eukaryota; Metazoa; Arthropoda; Insecta; Coleoptera; Staphylinidae
Description: partial 16S ribosomal RNA
Source: RNAcentral
GUCCUUUUGAUUAAAAUUAAAGGUCUGAUCUGCCCAUUGAAUUUUAAAAGGCCGCAGUAUUUUGACUGUGCAAAGGUAGCAUAAUAAUUAGUUUUUUAAUUGAAAGCUGGAAUGAAUGAUUUAAUGAGAAAAAUACUGUCUCUUUUUUAUUUAAUAGAAAUUUAUUUUUGAGUUAAAAAGCUUAAAUUUUAUUAAAAGACGAGAAGACCCUAUAGAGUUUAUAUAUAUAUUAAUUAAACUUAUUUAUUUUUUUUUUAUUUUUUUUGUUAAGUUAUAUUUUAUUGGGGUGAUAAGAAAGUUUAUUAAACCUUUUUUAAAUAAAACAGUAAUGGCUGAAUUAUUGAUCCUUUAUAAUAUUAUUAGAUUAAAUUACCUUAGGGAUAACAGCGUAAUUUUUUUGGAGAGUUCAUAUCUAUAAAAAAGUUUG